UACGAAGGGGGCUAGCGUUGCUCGGAAUCACUGGGCGUAAAGGGUGCGUAGGCGGGUCUUUAAGUCAGGGGUGAAAUCCUGGAGCUCAACUCCAGAACUGCCUUUGAUACUGAAGAUCUUGAGUUCGGGAGAGGUGAGUGGAACUGCGAGUGUAGAGGUGAAAUUCGUAGAUAUUCGCAAGAACACCAGUGGCGAAGGCGGCUCACUGGCCCGGAACUGACGCUGAGACGCGAAAGCGUGGGGAGCAAACAGGG
This 254-nucleotide ribosomal RNA is filed under the name uncultured bacterium. RNAcentral describes it as "partial 16S ribosomal RNA". It matches the Rfam family "Bacterial small subunit ribosomal RNA", at positions 524 to 777 of the family's 1533-position model. The record is from RNAcentral.